RNAcentral lists this ribosomal RNA (862 nucleotides) under uncultured bacterium. Its description in RNAcentral is "bacterial SSU rRNA". It matches the Rfam family "Bacterial small subunit ribosomal RNA", at positions 633 to 1501 of the family's 1533-position model. The record is from RNAcentral.
CUAUUUAGCUAGAGUGUGGGAGAGGAAGAUGGAAUUAGUUGUGUAGGGGUAAAAUCCGUAGAGAUAACUAGGAAUACCAAAAGCGAAGGCAAUCUUCUGGAACAUUACUGACGCUGAGGCGCGAAAGCGUGGGGAGCAAACAGGAUUAGAUACCCUGGUAGUCCACGCCCUAAACGAUGAAUGUUAGUCGUCGGGUAGCUAGUCUAUUCGGUGAUGCAGCUAACGCAUUAAACAUUCCGCCUGGGGAGUACGGUCGCAAGAUUAAAACUCAAAGGAAUAGACGGGGACCCGCACAAGUGGUGGAGCAUGUGGUUUAAUUCGAAGAUACGCGAAGAACCUUACCUAGCCUUGACAUAUUUUAGAACUCCGUAGAGAUACAGAGGUGCCUUCGGGAGCUAAUUUACAGGUGCUGCACGGCUGUCGUCAGCUCGUGUCGUGAGAUGUUGGGUUAAGUCCCGCAACGAGCGCAACCCUCGUCACUAGUUACUAACAGUUCGGCUGAGGACUCUAGUGAGACUGCCUUCGUAAGGAGGAGGAAGGUGAGGACGACGUCAAGUCAUCAUGGCCCUUACGGCUAGGGCGACACACGUGCUACAAUGGCCAGGACAGUGAGACGCGAUACCGUGAGGUGGAGCAAAUCUAUAAACCUGGUCUCAGUUCGGAUUGUAGUCUGCAACUCGACUACAUGAAGUUGGAAUCACUAGUAAUCGUAGAUCAGCUAUGCUACGGUGAAUACGUUCCCGGGUCUUGUACUCACCGCCCGUCACACCAUGGGAGUUGAUUUCACCCGAAGCGGGGAAGCUAAACUGGCUACCCUCCACGGUGGAAUUAGCGACUGGGGUGAAGUCGUAACAAGGUAACC